AGAGUUUGAUCCUGGCUCAGAAUCAACGCUGGCGGCGCGCCUAACACAUGCAAGUCGAACGAGAAAGUGGAGCAAUCCAUGAGUACAGUGGCGUACGGGUGAGUAACACGUGGGUAAUCUACCUCUUAGUGUGGAAUAACCCUGGGAAACCGGGGCUAAUACCGCAUAAGCUCGAGAGAGGAAAGCAGCAAUGCGCUGAGAGAGGAGCCCGCGGCCGAUUAGCUUGUUGGCAGGGUAAAAGCCUACCAAGGCAAAGAUCGGUAGCCGGCCUGAGAGGGCACACGGCCACACUGGCACUGAAACACGGGCCAGACUCCUACGGGAGGCAGCAGUGGGGAAUCUUGCACAAUGGGGGAAACCCUGAUGCAGCAACGCCGCGUGAGCGAUGAAGCCCUUCGGGGUGUAAAGCUCUUUCGGCAGGGAAGAUUAUGACGGUACCUGCAGAAGCAGCUGCGGCUAACUACGUGCCAGCAGCCGCGGUAAUACGUAGGCAGCAAGCGUUGUUCGGAGUUACUGGGCGUAAAGGGUGUGUAGGCGGUUCUCUAAGUUUGGUGUGAAAUCUCCCGGCUCAACUGGGAGGGUGCGCCGAAUACUGAAGGACUAGAGUACGGGAGAGGAGAGUGGAAUUCCUGGUGUAGCGGUGAAAUGCGUAGAUAUCAGGAGGAACACCGGUGGUGUAGACGGCUCUCUGGACCGUAACUGACGCUGAGACACG
RNAcentral lists this ribosomal RNA (715 nucleotides) under uncultured bacterium. Its description in RNAcentral is "bacterial SSU rRNA". It matches the Rfam family "Bacterial small subunit ribosomal RNA", at positions 8 to 755 of the family's 1533-position model. The record is from RNAcentral.